This 601-nucleotide ribosomal RNA is filed under the name uncultured bacterium. RNAcentral describes it as "partial 16S ribosomal RNA". It matches the Rfam family "Bacterial small subunit ribosomal RNA", at positions 338 to 873 of the family's 1533-position model. The record is from RNAcentral.
CCUACGGGAGGCAGCAGUAGGGAAUCUUCCGCAAUGGACGAAAGUCUGACGGAGCAACGCCGCGUGAACGAUGAAGGCCUUCGGGUCGUAAAGUUCUGUUGUUAGGGAAGAACAAGUGCUAGUUGAAUAAGCUGGCACCUUGACGGUACCUAACCAGAAAGCCACGGCUAACUACGUGCCAGCAGCCGCGGUAAUACGUAGGUGGCAAGCGUUGUCCGGAAUUAUUGGGCGUAAAGCGCGCGCAGGCGGUUUCUUAAGUCUGAUGUGAAAGCCCCCGGCUCAACCGGGGAGGGUCAUUGGAAACUGGGAAACUUGAGUGCAGAAGAGGAAAGUGGAAUUCCAAGUGUAGCGGUGAAAUGCGUAGAGAUUUGGAGGAACACCAGUGGCGAAGGCGACUUUCUGGUCUGUAACUGACGCUGAGGCGCGAAAGCGUGGGGAGCAAACAGGAUUAGAUACCCUGGUAGUCCACGCUGUAAACGAUGAGUGCUAAAGUGUUAGAGGGUUUCCGCCUUUAGUGCUGAAGUUAACGCAUUAAGCNCNCGCGNGGNGAGNGNGAGANGAAUANAGAGUUAGUGNGNGNGNGNGCGAGNGNAGAGGAGAG